GUGGAGGGACUCCAUGUGGGGCUGUGGACGGGAUGCCGAGCCUCCAGGGCUCCUGGGACCUGGAUGCACAUGCCCUGGGCUCUCGUGCAGGGCCAGCUUUGAUUCAGGGGGGCUGGGUGGGCCCUGAGAUGCUGCAGUCUACCAAGCUCCCAGGGAUGCUGCUGCUGUUGCUGGCACGCGACCCACGUGUUAAGCAGCAGCCGGGAGGGUCAGCUGGUUCAAGCGUUUGUUUCACAUGUAUUUCAUGAGGGCUCUCUACAUGCCAGGUGCUGGGACACAAUGGAGAGCAAGACAGGUGUGGCCCUGCCCUCUGAUGAUGGCUGAUGUGGUCCGUUCUCCUCAGUUGUUUGACUUUGUCUCCACGUUUCAAACUGAGAUUCCCAGGAGUGAGGAUCUGUUUUCCCAGCCUGGACACAGUGUCUGCUCCAGACCUGCUAAACUGCUGGUUUGGAGGGGCUCCCCAAACAGGCCUGGGCUAAGCAGGAGAGUCAUGUGAGGACAGAACAGUGGCCAGCUCUACACAGGUGGGAGGCACAGUUCCUGUUGUGCAGUUGGGGAAACCGACACCCGCAGGAGUACAGCGAUGUGCUGAGAUCUUGCAGCUGGCAAGGUGGAGAUUCAGGGCUUACAUCAUGUUCUCUUGGACUCUGACUCUGUGGUUUUUCCACAGCUCCACUCCCCAGAGCUUUGCCGUGGCUCCCGCAUCUGUUCCACUGCCACACUUAAUUCUGCUGAGAUGACCAGAGCAGGAAGCAGGAAAGCUGACUUCCCUGAAAGAGAACAAGCCUGGGCCAGCCUGCUGGAGGCCGAAAGACCCUGUGGAGCUGAGCUGACUCUGCCCCUCUGUCUUUGCUAUGACCAGCACAGCCAACCCACAGCUGACCCCUGGGCUGACCACAGUUGCACGAGCAAGCCCAGCCCAAAUCAGAAGGUUGUGCAGCUGCAGCCUUGUAAACCCCUUUGACUGGCAUGAAGGAGCUUUGAUGCUUAUGUGGAAACAUUCCUGGCUGAGACCUGAGACCUGUCUUUUCUUUGCACCAGACAAGAGAGACCUCCGAUCUCCUUUUCACAGUACCUCGUGCACCGAGCAUAAGGCCUGGAGCAUGGCAGGAGGUCUGCUGCAGGUAGGAAUUGAAUGGCUGAAUGAAGACCACGCAGAUGUGGAUGCUCAUUGUUCCCAUCUCCUCCUCUGGAAGCCAUGUGUCUCCCUCUAAGCCAGGCUGGUCACUCCUUCCUUCAGACUUCACUGUCCCCCCACUUUCCUCCAUCACAAUUCAUCUCAUCGUGACCUCAGGAUUUUUCUGGAAACACAACUAUUGUCCCAUCAAUCCUCUCCCUGUCCUUUGGCCCCACUGAAAACUCUUGAAUGGGAUGUUGCUAUUCUUGGGACAAAGAUCCAAAUCCCUAAGGUGGCAUCUGAGGCCCCUUAGAUGUCUGGCCCUCACCUCUCCACCCCCAGCCUCGUUUCACAGCCCCUACUGACCCCCUGCCCUCCAACCACACAGGCCUUGGAGUUCUUCAUGGUUGCUGACAGCUGGCCAUCAUGACAGGGCCUCUGCACAUGCUGUUCCCUGGCUGAAACCCUCUCCCUUCCCCACCCUCACUUGCCAACUCCUAUUCUCCUUUCAGAUCCCAGUUCAGCCAUUCCAGUCCUCAGGUAAGGCUUCCUUGGUCUCCUUCAAAUCUCCCCACUUCUUCACUGCAUGUGUAAGCUCACACUUCUUUGUGUGACGUAUUGAUUAGUGUCUGUCUCUCCCUCUAGACUGUGAGCCUUAUCAGGCAGGGACCAGUAUGGUUUUGCUUAAUUUCCCUAACACAGUGGCUGUCCCACUGUAGGUGCUCAACAAAAGUGUCAAUAAAUAAGCGGAUGCUGUCCCUGCAGGGUUUUCUCUGAUUCGUGUGCUUCUCUCCCAAGACAGGCUUCCCCCAAGGGCUGGAAUCUGCCUCAGCCAUC
This 1954-nucleotide long non-coding RNA is filed under the name Homo sapiens (human). Its description in RNAcentral is "HSALNT0004138". The record is from RNAcentral. Lineage: Eukaryota; Metazoa; Chordata; Mammalia; Primates; Hominidae.